AUGCGCAGAUAUCAGGAGGAACACCGAUGGCGAAGGCAGGUCUCUGGGCAUUUACUGACGCUGAGGAGCGAAAGCAUGGGGAGCGAACAGGAUUAGAUACCCUGGUAGUCCAUGCCGUAAACGUUGGGCACUAGGUGUGGGGGACAUUCCACGUUUUCCGCGCCGUAGCUAACGCAUUAAGUGCCCCGCCUGGGGAGUACGGCCGCAAGGCUAAAACUCAAAGGAAUUGACGGGGGCCCGCACAAGCGGCGGAGCAUGCGGAUUAAUUCGAUGCAACGCGAAGAACCUUACCAAGGCUUGACAUGUGCCAGACCGCUCCAGAGAUGGGGUUUCCCUUCGGGGCUGGUUCACAGGUGGUGCAUGGUUGUCGUCAGCUCGUGUCGUGAGAUGUUGGGUUAAGUCCCGCAACGAGCGCAACCCUCGUUCCAUGUUGCCAGCACGUAGUGGUGGGGACUCAUGGGAGACUGCCGGGGUCAACUCGGAGGAAGGUGGGGAUGACGUCAAAUCAUCAUGCCCCUUAUGUCUUGGGCUUCACGCAUGCUACAAUGGCCGGUACAAUGGGUUGCGAUACUGUGAGGUGGAGCUAAUCCCUAAAAGCCGGUCUCAGUUCGGAUUGGGGUCUGCAACUCGACCCCAUGAAGUCGGAGUCGCUAGUAAUCGCAGAUCAGCAACGCUGCGGUGAAUACGUUCCCGGGCCUUGUACACACCGCCCGUCAAGUCACGAAAGUUGGUAACACCCGAAGCCGAUGGUCCUAACCACC
This 761-nucleotide ribosomal RNA is filed under the name Arthrobacter sp. RNAcentral describes it as "bacterial SSU rRNA". It matches the Rfam family "Bacterial small subunit ribosomal RNA", at positions 686 to 1443 of the family's 1533-position model. The record is from RNAcentral. Lineage: Bacteria; Bacillati; Actinomycetota; Actinomycetes; Micrococcales; Micrococcaceae.